RNAcentral lists this transfer RNA (75 nucleotides) under Streptomyces spiralis. Its description in RNAcentral is "tRNA-Gly". It matches the Rfam family "tRNA". From Rfam's summary of the family: Transfer RNA (tRNA) molecules are approximately 80 nucleotides in length. Their secondary structure includes four short double-helical elements and three loops (D, anti-codon, and T loops). RNAcentral also lists the same sequence under 1 other name. The record is from RNAcentral. Lineage: Bacteria; Bacillati; Actinomycetota; Actinomycetes; Kitasatosporales; Streptomycetaceae.
UGCGGACGUAGCUCAGUUGGUAGAGCGCAACCUUGCCAAGGUUGAGGUCGCGAGUUCGAGCCUCGUCGUCCGCNN